Molecule: transfer RNA, 72 nt
Filed under: Centruroides sculpturatus (bark scorpion)
Lineage: Eukaryota; Metazoa; Arthropoda; Arachnida; Scorpiones; Buthidae
Description: tRNA-Glu
Rfam family: tRNA
About the family: Transfer RNA (tRNA) molecules are approximately 80 nucleotides in length.
Source: RNAcentral
UCUCAUGUAGUCUAGUGGUGAGGAUACCUGGCUCUCAUCCAGGUGGCCCGGGUUCGAUUGCCGGCGUGGGAA